AAUUUUGGCCUGCAAAGACUUCCUUCUCUCGCCUCUACUAUCCAACUCCUGUGAGGGACUCAGGCAUAGUUCGGGCGGAGGCAGAAAGAGCGAGCGCGCGAAGAACUUCGGUAUUGAGGGAGAGCGCUUGUGACGCUACGAACCUCUCGAACACCUGACGACUGGGCGCCAGGGCCGGAUGGAGGGUGGAGAGCCAGUGCGGCGCAGCUGCCUCCUCUUAACGGGGACACCUUGCAGGAAUGUGCGGAGUGGAGCUAACGGGAGCGGAUAGAAACCGAGGGAGGGGAAGAGAGCGCGAAGGCUUGGCCGGAAGGAGAGGUUAAAAAGGAAAGGCCUAAAAUGAGGAAGAGAGUUACCACAACAAGCAGUACCUAGUUCCAGUUCUUGGUCCCAGGAGUUUGUGGUUGUUGCUGCUUUCAUCUUCCUCAGCCAACACAAAAGGAAAGUGCCAAGGGGCGAUUCCUAGGACCUUCAGUGCAGUCUCCACCUUGCGGACUUGGCUCAUUUGUGUCCACUCCUUUCUCCAGCCUUUUACACUUGAUGCUCUUGGAUG
Homo sapiens (human) is the source of this 553-nucleotide long non-coding RNA. Ensembl annotates it as CBLL1 antisense RNA 1. Its record names the gene CBLL1-AS1. NCBI's taxonomy places the organism in Eukaryota, Metazoa, Chordata, Mammalia, Primates, Hominidae. The record is from Ensembl.